Molecule: transfer RNA, 80 nt
Filed under: Astragalus vulpinus
Lineage: Eukaryota; Viridiplantae; Streptophyta; Magnoliopsida; Fabales; Fabaceae
Description: tRNA-Ala
Source: RNAcentral
GGGGAUAUAGCUCAGUUGGUAGAGCUCCGCUCUUGCAAAACUCGUUAGACGAUAUAAAACUAUAUGAUAGCACUCAUAGC